GGCCGGCAAUGGUGCGUACUUCUAAGUUCUAAGUAAACAAACUAAGGCCAACGUGAUGGUGGUUGAUAUAUUACUAUCAAAGCAUUGAUCCCACCAUGUUAGGGGCCAAAACUAGUGGAAUGUUCUGACACCGACCAUCCGAUCGAUAUCGUGUGACUCCAACUAACACUAAUCAUUGUUCGGUAGGACCAUGAUCAUUGAAGCAAAGAACGUGUGCUAUUAAAUACAACCACGCCUUUUAAUAUACUCUUAAAAGUGACCUAGUUCUGCAAGGAUGCCAGCUUGGGGACACCAAAGCUGUCCCUAGGUUGCCCC
This 315-nucleotide long non-coding RNA is filed under the name Elaeis guineensis (African oil palm). RNAcentral describes it as "long non-coding RNA (EGUI_LNC019722)". The record is from RNAcentral. Lineage: Eukaryota; Viridiplantae; Streptophyta; Magnoliopsida; Arecales; Arecaceae.